RNAcentral lists this ribosomal RNA (465 nucleotides) under Vreelandella stevensii. RNAcentral describes it as "partial 16S ribosomal RNA". It matches the Rfam family "Bacterial small subunit ribosomal RNA", at positions 338 to 795 of the family's 1533-position model. The record is from RNAcentral. Lineage: Bacteria; Pseudomonadati; Pseudomonadota; Gammaproteobacteria; Oceanospirillales; Halomonadaceae.
CCUACGGGGGGCUGCAGUGGGGAAUAUUGGACAAUGGGGGCAACCCUGAUCCAGCCAUGCCGCGUGUGUGAAGAAGGCCCUCGGGUUGUAAAGCACUUUCAGUGAGGAAGAACGCCUGGUGGUUAAUACCCAUCAGGAAAGACAUCACUCACAGAAGAAGCACCGGCUAACUCCGUGCCAGCAGCCGCGGUAAUACGGAGGGUGCGAGCGUUAAUCGGAAUUACUGGGCGUAAAGCGCGCGUAGGUGGCUUGAUAAGCCGGUUGUGAAAGCCCCGGGCUCAACCUGGGAACGGCAUCCGGAACUGUCAAGCUAGAGAGCAGGAGAGGAAGGUAGAAUUCCCGGUGUAGCGGUGAAAUGCGUAGAGAUCGGGAGGAAUACCAGUGGCGAAGGCGGCCUUCUGGACUGACACUGACACUGAGGUGCGAAAGCGUGGGUAGCAAACAGGAUUAGAUACCCCAGUAGUC